Molecule: ribosomal RNA, 208 nt
Filed under: uncultured bacterium
Lineage: Bacteria
Description: partial 16S ribosomal RNA
Rfam family: Bacterial small subunit ribosomal RNA
Source: RNAcentral
CGCGUAGGCGGCGCGGUAAGUCACUUGUGAAAUCUCUGAGCUUAACUCAGAACGGCCAAGUGAUACUGCAGUGCUAGAGUGUGGAAGGGGCAAUCGGAAUUCUUGGUGUAGCGGUGAAAUGCGUAGAUAUCAAGAGGAACACCUGAGGUGAAGACGGGUUGCUGGGCCAACACUGACGCUGAGGCGCGAAAGCCAGGGGAGCGAAACG